RNAcentral lists this long non-coding RNA (306 nucleotides) under Panax ginseng (ginseng). RNAcentral's name for it is "long non-coding RNA (PGIN_LNC004338)". Lineage: Eukaryota; Viridiplantae; Streptophyta; Magnoliopsida; Apiales; Araliaceae. The record is from RNAcentral.
AUGUGAUGGCCUCGGGGACUGGUUUUCUUGUAUAUUUGUCUUCAGGCCGUCCUCUGUUUCGGUCAAAGUUAUUCUCAAGCUUCCCCCUCUUGCCCCCUUGUGGUUUUGAUUGAGAAUCAGCCAAAGCCACAGUUGCUGUCCUCUUGCCCUUCCAUGUAACUGUCGCAUGGUUAGUGGGCAAUGUCACAAUUCCUCCCAAGUCUUGAGCAAAAGAUGAGAGGGUCGCGAAGGAAUCACAAGCCUUGGUGAUGAGGUGGGGCUUGAAAGAAUCCAAGGCACCAUUGUUGCAAAUGCUGACUAAGUUCU